RNAcentral lists this long non-coding RNA (290 nucleotides) under Mytilus galloprovincialis (Mediterranean mussel). The record is from RNAcentral. Lineage: Eukaryota; Metazoa; Mollusca; Bivalvia; Mytilida; Mytilidae.
GGCGGCGGUUUCCAAUGACAGAUGGUUUCUGGAUAUUACUUUAGUAUAAGUAUAUAGAAAUCAAUAAUAUUUUAACACAAUGUUUACAACCACAAUAGGAAGGUUGGGAUUGAUUUUGGGGGUUAUGGUCCCAAAUGUUUAGGAAUUAGGGGCCCAAAGGGGCCCAAAACAAGCAUUUAUCUAGUUUUGGGACAAUAAGUUGUGUAUCAGUAUUUCAAUUACUCUGAAAUUGUAACACAAUGUUCAUACCAUUAAGUAGAAGGUUGGGAUUUAUUUUAAGGGUUAUGGGG